RNAcentral lists this ribosomal RNA (1326 nucleotides) under Hyphomonas adhaerens. Its description in RNAcentral is "16S ribosomal RNA". It matches the Rfam family "Bacterial small subunit ribosomal RNA". Lineage: Bacteria; Pseudomonadati; Pseudomonadota; Alphaproteobacteria; Hyphomonadales; Hyphomonadaceae. The record is from RNAcentral.
AGAGUUUGAUUCUGGCUCAGAACGAACGCUGGCGGCAGGCCUAACACAUGCAAGUCGAACGACAUAGUGGCAGACGGGUGAGUAACGCGUGGGAACGUACCUUUCGCUACGGAAUAGCUCUUGGAAACGAGUGGUAAUACCGUAUACGCCCUUCGGGGGAAAGAUUUAUCGGCGAAAGAUCGGCCCGCGUUAGAUUAGGUAGUUGGUGGGGUAAUGGCCUACCAAGACUACGAUCUAUAGCUGGGCUGAGAGGAUGAUCAGCCACACUGGGACUGAGACACGGCCCAGACUCCUACGGGAGGCAGCAGUGGGGAAUCUUGCACAAUGGGCGAAAGCCUGAUGCAGCCAUGCCGCGUGAAUGAUGAAGGCCUUAGGGUUGUAAAAUUCUUUCGCUAGGGAUGAUAAUGACAGUACCUAGUAAAGAAGCCCCGGCUAACUUCGUGCCAGCAGCCGCGGUAAUACGAAGGGGGCUAGCGUUGUUCGGAAUUACUGGGCGUAAAGCGCACGUAGGCGGACUUUUAAGUCAGAUGUGAAAUCCCGGGGCUCAACCUCGGAACUGCAUUUGAAACUGGAAGUCUGGAGUUCAGGAGAGGUUAGCGGAAUACCGAGUGUAGAGGUGAAAUUCGUAGAUAUUCGGUGGAACACCAGUGGCGAAGGCGGCUAACUGGACUGAUACUGACGCUGAGGUGCGAAAGUGUGGGGAGCAAACAGGAUUAGAUACCCUGGUAGUCCACACCGUAAACGAUGACAGCUAGUUGUUGGCAGGCAUGCCUGUCGGUGACGCAGCUAACGCAUUAAGCUGUCCGCCUGGGGAGUACGGCCGCAAGGGUAAAACUCAAAGAAAUUGACGGGGGCCCGCACAAGCGGUGGAGCAUGUGGUUUAAUUCGAAGCAACGCGCAGAACCUUACCUACCCUUGACAUCCCGAUCGCGGUUUCCAGAGAUGGAUUCCUUCAGUUAGGCUGGAUCGGUGACAGGUGCUGCAUGGCUGUCGUCAGCUCGUGUCGUGACAUGUUGGGUUAAGUCCCGCAACGAGCGCAACCCUCAUCCUUAGUUGCCAUCACGUUUGGGUGGGCACUCUAAGGAAACUGCCGGUGGCAAGCCGGAGGAAGGUGGGGAUGACGUCAAGUCCUCAUGGCCCUUACGGGUAGGGCUACACACGUGCUACAAUGGCAGUGACAAUGGGAUAAUCCCAAAAAGCUGUCUCAGUUCAGAUUGUCCUCUGCAACUCGAGGGCAUGAAGGUGGAAUCGCUAGUAAUCGUGGAUCAGCAUGCCACGGUGAAUACGUUCCCGGGCCUUGUACACACCGCCCGUCACAUCAUGGGA